UACAGAGGGGGCAAGCGUUGUUCGGAAUUACUGGGCGUAAAGGGCGCGUAGGCGGCCUGUUAAGUCGAACGUGUAAUCCCCGGGCUCAACCCGGGAACUGCGUCCGAAACUGGCAGGCUCGAAUCCGGGAGAGGGAUGCGGAAUUCCAGGUGUAGCGGUGAAAUGCGUAGAGAUGUGGAGGAACACCGAUGGCGAAGGCAGCCUUCUGGGCCAAUACUGACGCUCAUGCACGAAAGCGUGGGGAGCAAACAGG
Molecule: ribosomal RNA, 253 nt
Filed under: uncultured bacterium
Lineage: Bacteria
Description: partial 16S ribosomal RNA
Rfam family: Bacterial small subunit ribosomal RNA
Source: RNAcentral